This 378-nucleotide ribosomal RNA is filed under the name Acanthodactylus longipes. RNAcentral's name for it is "partial 16S ribosomal RNA". It matches the Rfam family "Bacterial large subunit ribosomal RNA", at positions 1986 to 2570 of the family's 2925-position model. The record is from RNAcentral. Lineage: Eukaryota; Metazoa; Chordata; Lepidosauria; Squamata; Lacertidae.
ACUGGAAUGAAUGGCUAAAUGAGGACUUAACUGUCUCUUGCACUUUACUAAUGAAACUGAUCUCUUAGUCCAAAAGCUAAGAUCUCACCACAAGACGAGAAGACCCUGUGGAGCUUAAAACCAAAUUCACAGCCAUGAACCCUUGGUUUUUAGUUGGGGCGACUUCGGAGCACAAAAAACCCUCCGACACGGAAUUUCACCUAAUUAGAUCAACACAUCACUAAUUCAUGACCCAGUAGUCUAUCCUAACUACCUGAUUAAUGAACCAAGUUACCCCAGGGAUAACAGCGCUAUCUCCCUCUAGAGUCCCUAUCGACAGGGGGGUUUACGACCUCGAUGUUGGAUCAAGACCCCCUAAUAGUGCACCCGCUAUUGAAG